UACGGGGGGGGCAAGCGUUGUUCGGAAUUACUGGGCGUAAAGGGCGCGUAGGCGGCCGCCUCAGUCAGACGUGAAAUGCCCCGGCUUAACCGGGGUCGGCGUCUGAUACUGGGUGGCUAGAGUUCGGGAGAGGAAUGUGGAAUUCCAGGUGUAGCGGUGAAAUGCGUAGAUAUCUGGAGGAACACCGGUGGCGAAGGCGGCAUUCUGGACCGCAACUGACGCUGAGGCGCGAAAGCGUGGGGAGCAAACAGG
This 252-nucleotide ribosomal RNA is filed under the name uncultured bacterium. Its description in RNAcentral is "partial 16S ribosomal RNA". It matches the Rfam family "Bacterial small subunit ribosomal RNA", at positions 524 to 776 of the family's 1533-position model. The record is from RNAcentral.